Molecule: ribosomal RNA, 2226 nt
Filed under: human gut metagenome
Description: bacterial LSU rRNA
Rfam family: Bacterial large subunit ribosomal RNA
Source: RNAcentral
AGGGCGCAUGGAGGAUGCCUAGGCUCUCGGAGGCGAAGAAGGACGUGAUAAGCUGCGAAAAGUUACGGUAAGGCGCAAAUAGCCCUAGACCCGUAAAUAUCCGAAUGGGGCAACCCGGCCAGCAAUGGUCAUACCGCCAAGCGGUAAGCCAACGCGGGGAACUGAAACAUCUAAGUACCCGCAGGAAAAGAAAAUAACAAUGAUUCCGCCAGUAGUGGCGAGCGAACGCGGAACAGCCCAAACCACUCGUGUUACGGCACGAGUGGGGUAGAAGGAUCCACGAUACGGCAAGAAAUAAGUUAGCAGAAUACGAUGGAAAUCGUAGCCAAAGACGGUGACAGCCCAGUACGCGAAAACCGACAGAAGCCCAGUGGACACCUGAGUAACCCAGGACACGAGAAAUCCGGGGCGAAUCAGCGGGGCCCAUCCCGUAAGGCUAAAUACUCCCGAGAGACCGAUAGCGAACCAGUACUGUGAAGGAAAGGUGAAAAGAACCUCGAACAGAGGAGUGAAAGAGACCCUGAAACCAUGCGCCUACAAGCGGUCGGAGCAUGUUAAAAUGUGACGGCGUGCCUUUUGCAUAAUGAACCUACGAGUUACUCUCGCUGGCAAGGUUAAGCGAUUCAGUCGCGCAGCCGAAGCGAAAGCAAGUCCGAAUAAGGCGUACAGUCAGCGGGAGUAGACGCGAAACCAAGUGAUCUACCCUUGGUCAGGUUGAAGGUUGGGUAACACCAACUGGAGGACCGCACCGAUAAGCGUUGAAAAGCUUACGGAUGAACUGAGGGUAGGAGUGAAAGGCCAAUCAAACUUGGAGAUAGCUCGUACUCCCCGAAAUGCAUUUAGGUGCAGCCUCGAAGUAAAGUGAUAGAGGUAGAGCGACUGAUAAGAUGCGAGGGCUUCACCGCCUAUCAAGUCUUGACAAACUCCGAAUACUAUCACUUGAUCUUUGGGAGUGAGGGCAUGGGUGCUAAGGUCCAUGUCCGAAAGAGGAACAACUCAGACCACCAGCUAAGGUCCCGAAAUAAGGGCUAAGUUGAAUAAACGAAGUAAAACUGCAAAGACAGCUAGGAUGUUGGCUUGGAAGCAGCCAUUCAUUUAAAGAGUGCGUAACAGCUCACUAGUCGAGGAGUUUUGCAUGGAUAAUAAUCGGGCAUAAGCCCUUUACCGAAGCUGUGGAUGUCGUAAGACAUGGUAGGGGAGCAUUCCGGCGGCGACGAAGGCCGUCCUCGAGGACGACUGGAGCUUUCGGAAAAGCAAAUGUAGGUAUAAGUAACGAUAAAGGGGGCGUGAAACCCCCUCGCCAUAAGACUAAGGAUUCCUGAUCAACGCUAAUCGGAUCAGGGUAAGUCGGGCCCUAAGGCGCAGCCGAACGGCGUAGCCGAUGGAAGAAACGGUAAAGAUUCCGUUACUGGAUAUAGGAGCGAUGUGGAGACGGAGAAGUGACACACCCGCCUGCCGACGGAAGCGCAGGUUAAAGGAAGUAGGUAAACGCCGGGUAGGCAAAUCCGCCUGGCGUGCCGAAGCUGACAGUAUCGAGAGCCCCCGGGCAAUCGAAUAGCGGUGGUAAUCAGGCUCCCAAGAAAAUCCGCUAAGCAUAUUCUAUAUUCACCCGUACCCCAAACGGACACACGUAGUCGGGUAGAAUAUACCAAGGCGCUCGAAAGACUCACGGUUAAGGAACUAGGCAAAUUGACCCUGUAACCUCGGGAAAAAGGGUCCCCAGUAAGAUGGGGCGCAGAGAAUAGGUCCAGGCAACUGUUUAACAAAAACACAGGGCUGUGCGAAAUUUCAAGAUGAAGUAUACAGCCUGACACCUGCCCGGUGCCGGAAGGUUAAGAGGAGAGCUAAUCGCAAGAGAAGGCUUGAAUUGAAGCCCCGGUAAACGGCGGCCGUAACUAUAACGGUCCUAAGGUAGCGAAAUUCCUUGUCGGGUAAGUUCCGACCUGCACGAAUGGUGUAAUGAUCUGGACACUGUCUCAACCGUGACUUCGGUGAAAUUGUAGUAUCGGUGAAGAUGCCGAUUACCCGCAACGGGACGAAAAGACCCCGUGAACCUUUACUGCAACUUAGCAUUGCGUUUGGGCAUUUGAUGUGUAGGAUAGUCCGGAGGCUACGAGCCGGCGACGCCAGUCGUCGGGGAGCCGUUGUUGAAAUACGGACCUUCGAAUGUUUGAGCGCUAACUCGCAGGAGCGAGGACACUGUUUGGUGGGUAGUUUGACUGGGGU